This 290-nucleotide long non-coding RNA is filed under the name Capsella rubella. RNAcentral describes it as "long non-coding RNA (CRUB_LNC004446)". The record is from RNAcentral. Lineage: Eukaryota; Viridiplantae; Streptophyta; Magnoliopsida; Brassicales; Brassicaceae.
GAAAAAUGGUGAUGAACAGAGAAGUGCAAUAAAUAUCACGUUUCAUUUUUUUCUUAUUUUUUUUUCACAAUGGAACUUAUAUAUAUCAAACCAAAUAGCAGAAUCCAUAUACAUAUAAACUAGUCCAGAGUGGAAGAUCAAUCGUGCUAUUCAUAAACCUACAUAGGGGUGACAAUCCAUUUUUUUUUUAAGCCAUACUAUAAGCUAGCUAGUACAAACUUUAUAAAUAAGAAAAAGAAGUAAAAUUUCUUCAAGUCUCAACACACAUAAACCACAGUUAGUACCCCUAG